GAUGAACGCUGGCGGCGUGCCUAAUACAUGCAAGUCGAGCGAACGGACGAGAAGCUUGCUUUUCUGAUGUUAGCGGCGGACGGGUGAGUAACACGUGGAUAACCUACCUAUAAGACUGGGAUAACUUCGGGAAACCGGAGCUAAUACCGGAUAAUAUUUUGAACCGCAUGGUUCAAAAGUGAAAGACGGUCUUGCUGUCACUUAUAGAUGGAUCCGCGCUGCAUUAGCUAGUUGGUAAGGUAACGGCUUACCAAGGCAACGAUGCAUAGCCGACCUGAGAGGGUGAUCGGCCACACUGGAACUGAGACACGGUCCAGACUACUACGGGAGGCAGCAGUAGGGAAUCUUCCGCAAUGGGCGAAAGCCUGACGGAGCAACGCCGAGUGAGUGAUGAAGGUCUUCGGAUCGUAAAACUCUGUUAUUAGGGAAGAACAUAUGUGUAAGUAACUGUGCACAUAUUGACGGUACCUAAUCAGAAAGCCACGGCUAACUACGUG
This 497-nucleotide ribosomal RNA is filed under the name uncultured bacterium. RNAcentral's name for it is "partial 16S ribosomal RNA". It matches the Rfam family "Bacterial small subunit ribosomal RNA", at positions 28 to 507 of the family's 1533-position model. The record is from RNAcentral.